UACGUAGGGUGCAAGCGUUGUCCGGAAUUAUUGGGCGUAAAGAGCUCGUAGGCGGCCUGUCGCGUCGACUGUGAAAACCCAGGGCUCAACCCUGGGCCUGCAGUCGAUACGGGCAGGCUAGAGUGCGGUAGAGGAGACUGGGAUUCCUGGUGUAGCGGUGAAAUGCGCAGAUAUCAGGAGGAACACCGGUGGCGAAGGCGGGUCUCUGGGCCGUAACUGACGCUGAGGAGCGAAAGCGUGGGGAG
This 245-nucleotide ribosomal RNA is filed under the name uncultured bacterium. Its description in RNAcentral is "partial 16S ribosomal RNA". It matches the Rfam family "Bacterial small subunit ribosomal RNA", at positions 524 to 768 of the family's 1533-position model. The record is from RNAcentral.